AAUCGCAACUCAAGGAGCAGACAGUGUUAAUCAGUAGAGCACAUACGGGCGGUUUCAUUCUCUACUCAGCAAUUGAUGUGCAACUGUGUGAGUUUUAUUUCUGAGAGGACCCUCGGGCAUAAAGCAUAAAGCAGGAACCAGUUUGACAUCCAGGAAAGAAAAACCGACACAGACAUGGAGGAUAAGAACUGUUCUUUUGUGGAGUAUUCGGUGCAGCGGCAAGUUUUGGAUGAGUUAUGUCUGGAUGAGGUGGCACAAAAAGGGUCGUGGUCCGCAAAGCCAACCUUCAGUGAACGUCUCAAAGGCUCCAUGAGGUGCUCAGCCCCUCGUGCCAAGGAAAUCUUGCUGAGCUGGGUCCCUGUUUUUGGCUGGCUUCCUAAAUACUCCAUCAGAGAGAACGCAAUUGGGGAUCUGAUCUCUGGCUGCAGUGUGGGCAUCAUGCAUCUUCCACAGGGUAUGGCGUAUGCUCUUCUGGCAUCGUUAAGCCCCGUGAUCGGCCUGUACACUUCACUCUACCCGGUGCUGGUCUACUUCAUCUUUGGCACCUCCAGACACAUCUCUAUUGGUACUUUUGCUGUGAUCAGCAUCAUGAUUGGGAGUGUGACAGAGCGGCUGGCUCCAGACAGUAACUUCCUUGUUAAUGCUACUAAUGGGACAGGAAGUGUCAAUACCAAUGAACAGGGUGCUUACAGAGUACAGAUAGCCUGUUCGCUCACAGUCCUGGCGGGGUUGUUUCAGAUCCUGUUGGGUGUGGUGAGGUUUGGUUUCGUGGUCACCUACUUGUCUGAGCCACUGGUCCGAGGAUACACCACAGGAUCAGCAUGCCAUGUGUUUGGCUCCCAGCUCAAAUAUUUGUUUGGGCUCUCUCCAGCUCGCACCUCCGGUCCUCUCUCACUCAUUUAUACUCUGGUAAAUAUAUGUUGCUUGCUACCUCAGACGGUCAUACCAGAGCUAGUGGUGAGUGUGGUGGCGCUCACUGUUCUCAUUGUGGUCAAAGAACUCAAUCAAUGCUACAGGCAGAGGUUGCCCUUGCCUAUUCCCAUUGAACUCAUUGUGAUCAUAGCAGCAACAAUCAUCACUCAUUUUUGUGACCUCUCUGCAAAAUACAACGUUGAUGUUGUUGGCGAAAUCCCCAGUGGGCUUAAGGCCCCCCAAGCUCCAGACGUGUCGCUGUUCCCUGCGGUGAUUGGUGAUGCUUUUGCUGUUGCCAUUGUGGGCUAUGCCAUCAACAUUUCUCUUGGUAAAACAUUUGCACUCAAGCAUGGCUACAAGGUGGAUAGCAACCAGGAGCUGGUUGCUCUCGGGCUGAGCAACACCGUCGGCGGCUGUUUUCAAUGUUACUCCGUCACUUCUUCCUUGUCGCGAAGCCUCGUUCAGGAGAGCACCGGGGGAAAGACACAAGUCGCUGGACUGAUUUCUUCCAUUAUCGUUCUGAUUACGGUCUUAAAAAUAGGAGCUCUCUUUGAAACUCUCCCCAAGGCUGUCUUAUCCACAAUAGUAAUUGUGAACUUGAAAGGAAUGUUUAAGCAGUUCAGUGAUGUGCCGAUGCUGUGGAAGACCAACAAGGUUGAUUUGCUCGUGUGGCUGGUCACGUUCACAUGCACCAUUCUACUCAACUUGGACCUGGGUUUGGCCGUCUCCAUUGGCUUUUCUCUGCUGACGGUGAUCUUCAGAACCCAGCUGCCACGCUAUUCAAUCUUGGGCCAAGUGCCAGCCACCAACUUAUAUCUGGACGUUGACACAUACAAAGAGGCUAAAGAGAUUCCAGGAAUCAAAAUCUUCCGUUCUUCCGCAACUAUUUACUACACCAAUGCUGAAAUGUACUUGGAGGCCUUACAAGAGAAGAGUGGCAUUCAAAUCGGGAAGCUGCUGGCAGAAAAGAAAAAACAAGAUGCAACUCGGAAGCAGCAGAAGGAAAAGACAGACAAAAAUGAACCAAACCCACAAAGGGUCAGCAAUCUUCUGCCUAAUGGCACAUUCUCCAUGGAAGAGAAACAAAUCUCUCCAGAAAUGGGAGGACGGAAUUUUAAACGUGCUGUGGCCCUGAAGCUGACGGAAUCUCCAGCUAAUGGCUUUAGUCAAGGCCAAGUGAACUGGGCUUACCAAUCCGACACAAUGUCUGACUCCGACAUGGGAUCCCAGCAUGAUGACAGUAUCACGCAGGCUUCAAAAGACAGCCAUGACAAAAAGGAACCCACUGAUUCAUUCGGUCCUCACAGCAUCAUCUUGGACCUCUCAACAACCAGCUUCGUGGACACUGUCGCUGUGAAGACCUUGAAAAAUAUUUUCAGGGACCUAGGAGAUAUUGGUGUGGGAGUCUAUCUCACUGGCUGCCAAGCCUGCGUGGUGGAGCAGCUGGAAAGAGCAGGUUUCUUCUCAGAGCCCAUCCCAAAGAGCAGACUGUUUGUCACAAUCCAUGAUGCGGUGCUCCACAUUCUUAACAAAGUGGGACAGACGGACGUCAUCCUUGAUGUUUCCUACAACACCAAAAUGUGACCAGCAGGGGCCAGCCUGUUCCAACACGCCAUUCCUCCAUUCCCAUUUGCUUUUGAACUGAAGGCGUGCUGUUGCUCACUAUUGGUAUACAUUCUCCUCCCCUCCCCCCAUAUGGGGAGAAAAGUCCGCCAUCUUAACAUGGCGGCGCACUUGCCAUGGAAAUACAGGGACCCGUUGCUGACAACGAGCGUUUUGUUUUAUUGUCUAAUGAGAUGAGGCAGCUUCUCGCCAGCAAACAUAAGCAUUUCAGAUAGCUUCUUAUAUGUUAAACAUGUUCACUGGAAAAACCCGACACAGAUGGGCGUGAUUAGAAAGCAAUAGUUAUCCCUAGUUUAUCGCGGUUAAUGGGGACCAAAACUUUUGUUUUGGUCCUGUUAUGUUUGGUUUUGAUUCCUCAUGUGCCUUUUUUCACCACCUGUUCUCGUUAUCAGUGUUCCUUGUGUGUAACCAAUUAGCUCCCUCAACCCUCGGUAUUUAGCUUGUAUUCAGUUCCCUGAGUUUGUCAGUCAUUGUUGUGUCAUUGUGAGCUGUGAGUAUGUGAGCUUAUGUGUGCUCCUGUCAUGUUGUUUCCUGUUGUAGUUUUGUUUGAUACUUGUGAUUUCCAGGCAUUUUUUUGAGUAUUUCGACUUGUGUUUUUUUCCAUUGUACUUCUGUGUAUAUUUUUUGUUAAAUACAUUUUGCUCAAUCCACCCUG
Hippocampus zosterae (dwarf seahorse) is the source of this 3190-nucleotide RNA transcript. It is a transcript of the gene named solute carrier family 26 member 6-like, with no coding region annotated. The transcript is spliced from 20 exons. The record is from RefSeq and is a predicted model, not a curated record. Lineage: Eukaryota; Metazoa; Chordata; Actinopteri; Syngnathiformes; Syngnathidae.